RNAcentral lists this transfer RNA (60 nucleotides) under Ornithodoros brasiliensis. Its description in RNAcentral is "tRNA-Arg". Lineage: Eukaryota; Metazoa; Arthropoda; Arachnida; Ixodida; Argasidae. The record is from RNAcentral.
AAGAAUGAAGCAAUUAUGCAAUCAGUUUCGACCUGACCCCCCAGGGUUUACCCAUUCUUA